This 69-nucleotide transfer RNA is filed under the name Epinephelus tauvina (greasy grouper). Its description in RNAcentral is "tRNA-Ala". It matches the Rfam family "tRNA". From Rfam's summary of the family: Transfer RNA (tRNA) molecules are approximately 80 nucleotides in length. Their secondary structure includes four short double-helical elements and three loops (D, anti-codon, and T loops). Lineage: Eukaryota; Metazoa; Chordata; Actinopteri; Perciformes; Serranidae. The record is from RNAcentral.
AAAGCUUUAGCUUAAUUAAAGUGUCUGUUUUGCAUACAGGAGAUGUGGGUUAAUGUCCCGCAAGUUUUA